RNAcentral lists this ribosomal RNA (559 nucleotides) under uncultured fungus. Its description in RNAcentral is "eukaryotic LSU rRNA". The stretch from base 197 to 350 matches the Rfam family "5.8S ribosomal RNA". Lineage: Eukaryota; Fungi. The record is from RNAcentral.
CUCCGUANGUGAACCUGCGGNNNNNNNNNUANNCAAAUAUGAAGGCGGGCUGGAACCUCUCGGGGUUACAGCCUUGCUGAAUUAUUCACCCUUGUCUUUUGCGUACUUCUUGUUUCCUUGGUGGGUUCGCCCACCACUAGGACAAACAUAAACCUUUUGUAAUUGCAAUCAGCGUCAGUAACAAAUUAAUAAUUACAACUUUCAACAACGGAUCUCUUGGUUCUGGCAUCGAUGAAGAACGCAGCGAAAUGCGAUAAGUAGUGUGAAUUGCAGAAUUCAGUGAAUCAUCGAAUCUUUGAACGCACAUUGCGCCCUUUGGUAUUCCAAAGGGCAUGCCUGUUCGAGCGUCAUUUGUACCCUCAAGCUUUGCUUGGUGUUGGGCGUCUUGUCUCUAGCUUUGCUGGAGACUCGCCUUAAAGUAAUUGGCAGCCGGCCUACUGGUUUCGGAGCGCAGCACAAGUCGCACUCUCUAUCAGCAAAGGUCUAGCAUCCAUUAAGCCUUUUUUUCAACUUUUGACCUCGGAUCAGGUAGGGAUACCCGCUGAACUUAAGCAUAUCA